RNAcentral lists this transfer RNA (63 nucleotides) under marine eukaryotic metagenome. It matches the Rfam family "tRNA", at positions 5 to 66 of the family's 71-position model. Rfam says of the family: Transfer RNA (tRNA) molecules are approximately 80 nucleotides in length. The record is from RNAcentral.
CUGUCGCCAAGUGGUUAAGGCAUCGGACUUUGACUCCGACAUCGAUGGUUCGAAUCCAUCCAG